RNAcentral lists this long non-coding RNA (1327 nucleotides) under Malus domestica (apple). RNAcentral's name for it is "long non-coding RNA (MDOM_LNC004183)". The record is from RNAcentral. Lineage: Eukaryota; Viridiplantae; Streptophyta; Magnoliopsida; Rosales; Rosaceae.
AUAAACAUACACGAAUAAGUUAUCAAUCAAGCAGUUAAACAAAUUGAAUUCACAACUUAUGAAAUCACAACCGAAGGUAAUCAAAUCAUAUUGCAAGCAUGAACAUGGUUUCGAAUUCCCCCCUAGCUAAGGGGGGGUUUAGUUCCUCAUACUCACAAAGCAAAGAUAAACAAAUUUAGACAUUGAAAACAAAAGAAUGAAAACACCUAAAAACGCUCCAACAAUCCAACUUGAAUGGCAAGCACGUCCAAGGGUCCUCCUUCUUAUCUUUGUUGCGGCACAAGGUGUGGUUUGAUGGAUGAGUGAUGUGAAAAAUAAGUUAACACACAAAAUUAAACCCUCUUUUUAUCAAUUGUAGCAAAGUAUGUAAAUAGGGAUCGUUCUAGACCGGGGAUUAGGAGGGAUUGCUAAACACUUGAAAACUGACUUAGAAAUGUAAAAACAAAGUUUAAAGCACUAGAUUAGACUCAAAAAAUGCAAAACUAAACUCUAAAACACUAAAACGAACCAAAAGAAUCAAAACAGCAACCAAACACUCAAAACUGCCUAAAAACCACUUUCUGGGCAGUUUUGAACACAAAGCAUCAAAUUGGACGAAUUUGGGUUUUAACUUGUACCAAAACACUUAAAAACAUAAACCAACACAUUUUCCAAUUAAUCUAGGAAUUCAAAAUAAUUGGGGAUUUGAUUUGGACGAAAAUAAACUUAAAUGGCAGAUUGUAAGAGAAACAAAUUGUAAUACAAAGUUAUGAAGAAUCAAUGGAUGAUGGAAUGGCUAAGGGGUUCUUCUCCACACAUGAAAUAUAUGCAACGUAAAUCAAUUUCCAGUUAUCAAUUCAAUAAGUUAUGAACCUCAACAUUCCAAGUUAAUUAGGUCCGCUUAAAUUAACCUUCAGAUUUCCCUAGGAUCAUUGAAUUGGAUGAAUAUGCAUCGCAAACAAAUUAUUCCUAACAAGUUCUUUAUAUGAACAACAUGAUAAAGACACAAGUUAGAAUCAUUACGUUCUUUGGAAAUCAUAAGCAUCGACAAGGCAUUCGUAACUAUGAAAAGCAUGAUACUCUUGCCAGGAAUCUACUUAACACGAUCGUGACUAGCGACCUUCACUACUUACGAAUAUAAAUUCAUAACGAUUAGGUGAAACAAAUUUAUAUCCUAUCAUCAAAUUCAAGCAUGCAAAUUAAGCGUGCACUCUCAAUCAACAUACAAGAAUAAGUUCUAAAUCAAAUGGUUAAGCAAAUUGUAUUCACGACUUAUGUAACAAUAACUGGAAGUAAUCAACUCAUUUCACAUAUAUAAUCAUGGUUUUGAUUACACCCUUAGCCAAAA